GAUGAAAAACGUAGCGAAAUGCGAUAAGUAGUGUGAAUUGCAGAAUUCAGUGAAUCAUCGAAUCUUUGAACGCACAUUGCGCCCUUUGGUAUUCCAAAGGGCAUGCCUGUUCGAGCGUCAUUUGUACCCUCAAGCUUUGCUUGGUGUUGGGCGUCUUGUCUCUAGCUUUGCUGGAGACUCGCCUUAAAGUAAUUGGCAGCCGGCCUACUGGUUUCGGAGCGCAGCACAAGUCGCACUCUCUAUCAGCAAAGGUCUAGCAUCCAUUAAGCCUUUUUUUCAACUUUUGACCUCGGAUCAGGUAGGGAUACCCGCUGAACUUAAGCAUAUCAAUAAGCGGAGGA
RNAcentral lists this unclassified non-coding RNA (341 nucleotides) under soil metagenome. RNAcentral describes it as "partial contains 5.8S ribosomal RNA, internal transcribed spacer 2, and large subunit ribosomal RNA". The stretch from base 1 to 120 matches the Rfam family "5.8S ribosomal RNA", at positions 35 to 154 of the family's 154-position model. The record is from RNAcentral.